Taeniopygia guttata (zebra finch) is the source of this 2241-nucleotide non-coding RNA. Lineage: Eukaryota; Metazoa; Chordata; Aves; Passeriformes; Estrildidae. The record is from RefSeq and is a predicted model, not a curated record.
UUGUUUGGGGUUUUUUUCCCCCUGCAGUUACAUUUUCAACAGCUACACAAAGCAGCUUUCCCUUCUCAGAAAACUGCAGAAUUUUAAGCCUAAUCAGUCCGUGAGACAAAGAUAAGCAUCUUCUGCUUCAUGAUGGAAAUCAACCUGAUUUUGCAAUUGAUGAUUUGUAAAGCUACACACCAAGUACAAACCUGACACCCUGGACAAGCACCAGCUCCUGACACAGUAAACAAACUUUGACAGCCAUGGAACUGAACUGUGCACUGUUUCCAUUUGCCAUACAACUUCCUUGUGGAUAAAAGCACCAAAUGGAUUGCAAUACAUGCCUGAGCACUGCUGGUUUAGAUCAUUUUCCACAAAGCAUCUCAUCUUAGAUGUUUCACUUAUAAUGCAAAUAAACAACAAAAGAAGGUCACUAACACGUGACCUUUUGCCUAAAGACGGUGCUUACCCUUGUCAAGAACUUCAUUCCUUCAAAUCCCCUGGGGACUCUCUGCAUGAACGAUUUUGCAUCUGAAAUUCCUUACCUGUAUUCACCUACAUCUGAGCUAACAAACCACCAAAGCUUAAUAAGUUACUCUAGAUUCCAACACUUGGAAGUGAAGUUUGCAGCUGAGCUGGACAGUGACAGAGUGCACUGCUGCUCUCAAUGCUGGUUUUCCCCAUUGCAGAAGGGAUUUGUUCCUCACUGAGGAAUGAUGACCCUGAAAGUUAAACCUAAGCACUGAAUUUCAGCUUUUCACCUGAGUGUUCUGCAAUGUUGUCAAAAAUGCGGUUCAAACACUCUCAUAGUGAUGGUGACAUCCCUUCCUUAAAGGUGUGCUUUCCAAACUCUCUCCUGUACCAUGUAGCUGCUGGAUUUCAAGCCUGGGAGCCCUGGUAUUUUCAGGACCACACCUAACAAUGACUGAAUUUCAUCACAACUCUUUUUGGAACACCUUCACAUCUCCUGACAGCUCAUAGGUGGAGGUUAAAGUAAAGCAAUGUGAAAAGGAGCCACACAAGUCCCUGGCCACCAUUCUGGCAGCGUUCAUCAGAGGCACUGUCUAGCAGGAAUUCAGGAGUUAAAUAUUUUGGCUUUGACAGGAACAUCUGUUUAAGCCAUCUGCACAUUUCCCUUGUGACCACUUGUCCACCAGAAGCUGGGCUAAAGCUAAAGGCAUUUUGUAUAUCAAGAAAUACCUGUCAAAGAAGGAAAAAAGAAGAGCAAAAGGAAAAGACAAGGGAAAAAGGGAAGAGGAACACAAGCAUCCAAAAAAUAACAGCAGAAGGAAUGUCCAACAGAAGGAUAUUCUCAAGAAGACAAAACCAGAAGUCUCAGAGGAGAAAAUGAGAAAGUAAAGGAGAGAUGAAUCCAAGCUGGAACAUUUGGAUCCAUGUGCAAACACAGCCAGUUGAAAGCACAUGACCCCGCCUGGGAGAAGACCCCAGGGCUUGAGUCUCCAUUUGUUUGUUUCUUCCUGGAAACUAAAUAGGUUUCAAUUCAGAUUAGGAUUACAUUGAAGCUUUUUGCUGUGUUACUAUAAUUCCAUAAUUUACUGCAAUAUCACAAGCCCUAUAAAAGUAGUCCUCCGUUUAAAAAGGGGAAUUCUUGUUACACCCAAUAAAAGAAUUAGGAUUCAAGGAAUAAAAUCUUUUCAAUACGAGAUACAAAGUAGAUGUGAUUGUUUCCUGAUUUUUUUUUUUUUUUUUAAUUCAAGACUUAAAUGUUUCUGAAAGGGAAGAGCAUAUCAAAAUCCUUUCUUCCUCCAAUCUCCACCCACAACUCAGUUCAUCAGAAACACAAGCUGGAGCUGGAUCCUGAAAACAUUUACUAUCUAAGUCAAGUUUAGUGUUUACAGCUGGAUCAAUGAAAUGCAGCAGUCAGUCCUUUGAGUAACUCAGAGACCCACACACAUUUAACUCCAAAGGAAGCAUUGGAGGAUAUGUGAGUACAUGCAUGGCUCUAGUUUAGCACUCAAACAUCAGACUUAAAACUCAAAUGUAUUUGCAGGUGCUCAAAAAGUAAUGGACCAAAUGCAAUUUAACCUUUUGAGCUGCAUGUGUGACUGAAACCCAGUUUGAUAAAAUCAUCAUACGUUAGGCUCUUUCCUACACAUCAGAACAAUCAUACCAGCUCCAACUGCUUAAAAGAACAAUUUUUGCUGCCCUCCUUUUGUGUUCUCCAUUUAUCCCAUGUCUCUCAAGCACAGAAACCCAUUAUUAAGUCAGUGUUGUUCAAUAAAAAGGCAGAAAACGGUC